CGUUGCAGACUUCACUUUGGAACAGUCCAUCAUUCUAGUACGGCCUCACGCCACAUGGCGGCGUCUCUUUAAUUCAUUUUGUCACUUGGUCACCUUUUCCUUCAACUUCCGGAAUCCACUUUUUUUUGUUUGUUGUUGUCAUGGACUCGGUUGGGCGUAGCCGACAGCCGUGCUCCAAAGUAGCGCGUGGUCAAGAUAAGUGACAGUUAUUUGGUUCAGAAUAAACAAGUGCUCGUGGAAAUCUUCGGCUGUCCAACAGCACGCGUCCAGGGCCGGUUCCGUCCUCGGCUCAGACCAGCACAUGUUGCAACUUGCCACCACGCUUACACACUCGCACAAAUAGAAGAGUCCAUCAGGAGGUGAAGUGCAUUCAGGUGCUCCGGAUCGGCUGUGGUGGUGGUCCCGCUGCAGGCUGCGAUGUGACGCCGCUUCCCCCUGCUCGCAUCCUGGCCGGCUAACUCGCUAAGGACACGAUCCAUGUCCAUAUAUCCACGGUCACAGGACUCGGCUAAGUGCGGUAGCCGCGGCGCUCGGUGUGAUUUUCAUACUUGCGGCUCAUAUUCAGCCCAGGGUGUCAAAAUCGCGCCGAUGGAGGCAUAGUGACGCGCAUUACGUGCACCUUCUCCCGCGCCACAAACUUUCCGCCGACUUUCCACUCGCGAGACUUGAAGCCAUGCAUGCGAGCUGCUCCGCGUGAGGACAUUUGGAUGGAGCCACGCACGCGCGCACAAGCAGGACCCUGCUUGGCCACACAGUGCGGCAGCACACACCGAGGGAGCGACACGCAGCAUGAAUACGCGUUGCAUGGGUGGACAAGGUGGAAAUUAUACAGCGGCCCCACGUGAGUAUCCCUUCAAAUGUCAAGUGUUUGAAAAAACCCCCACAGAAAACGACUAAUUGCUGCCUAUGCAGUGGAUUUAAUUGUGGAAAAGUCACAUCAAUGAAAAAAAUGAGCAAAUAAGGAGUCAUUUCUUGUUUCUCUAUUGCGUGUGCAAAACAAACUUGCAUUGAAGCUUUUGGUCGUGUAAGUGUGUUUACAAGCGCGCCGAUUUUCUGCAACGUUCGAGAGUCUUUAUUUGACUUUUGAGGCUCACGUGAACGUAAACUUGAAUCGUUUGAUUUUUAAUUCCCGUUUUGCAUUGGACUGAAAUAUUUUAUUUGCACUUACCGUUCUUUGCAUUAUUGUAGCGCAGUCUAGAGUCUACUUACCAGUGUGUCAUUAUUCCUAUAAAUAUAUAAUAUUGAUGCUAAUAUUUGACGGUAUUACUCCCGAAAAUAUUUGCUGUUUUAAAUUCUCCAAUUUACAUUUUCGGCAGUUUUAUUUUAACGGACAAGUGUUUUUCGUUUUUUUUUUUUAUUUAUUUUUUAUACAUCAAAUGUAGACACGUGCACAACAUUUAGCGUUGCCGUUUUCAUGCCUCGCAAUAUUGAGGAGGCUUGUAAAAU
This is a long non-coding RNA of Hippocampus comes (tiger tail seahorse), 1446 nucleotides long. RefSeq lists it as uncharacterized. The transcript has 6 exons. The record is from RefSeq and is a predicted model, not a curated record. NCBI's taxonomy places the organism in Eukaryota, Metazoa, Chordata, Actinopteri, Syngnathiformes, Syngnathidae.